AGCCGACGAUUUAUAUCAAAUCAUACGACUUUCAGCGGCGGAUGUCUUGGUUCCCACAACGAUGAAGAACGCAGCGAAAUGCGAUACGUAAUGCGAAUUGCAGAGUCCAGCGAGUCAUCAAAUGUUCGAACGCACCUGGCA
RNAcentral lists this ribosomal RNA (141 nucleotides) under Chattonella subsalsa. Its description in RNAcentral is "5.8S ribosomal RNA". The stretch from base 27 to 141 matches the Rfam family "5.8S ribosomal RNA", at positions 1 to 115 of the family's 154-position model. From Rfam's summary of the family: 5.8S ribosomal RNA (5.8S rRNA) is a component of the large subunit of the eukaryotic ribosome. It is transcribed by RNA polymerase I as part of the 45S precursor that also contains 18S and 28S rRNA. The record is from RNAcentral. Lineage: Eukaryota; Raphidophyceae; Chattonellales; Chattonellaceae.